UACGAAGGGGGCUAGCGUUGCUCGGAAUCACUGGGCGUAAAGCGCACGUAGGCGGACUCUUAAGUCGGUGGUGAAAUCCUGGAGCUCAACUCCAGAACUGCCUUCGAUACUGAGAGUCUCGAGUCCGGGAGAGGUGAGUGGAACUGCGAGUGUAGAGGUGAAAUUCGUAGAUAUUCGCAAGAACACCAGUGGCGAAGGCGGCUCUCUGGAACGGUACUGACGCUGAGACGCGAAAGCGUGGGGAGCGAACAGG
RNAcentral lists this ribosomal RNA (253 nucleotides) under uncultured bacterium. RNAcentral describes it as "partial 16S ribosomal RNA". It matches the Rfam family "Bacterial small subunit ribosomal RNA", at positions 524 to 776 of the family's 1533-position model. The record is from RNAcentral.